Molecule: long non-coding RNA, 1196 nt
Organism: Peromyscus californicus insignis
Lineage: Eukaryota; Metazoa; Chordata; Mammalia; Rodentia; Cricetidae
Exons: 3
Source: RefSeq, a predicted model, not a curated record
CUCAGUGUCCUGCUAAGCCAUUCCCAAACACCUGACCCACAGAAAUGAAGGUAAUGAAUGUUUAUUAUUAGCUUAAGCUAUCAGACCUGGGGAGGAAUUUGUUGCACAGAAAUAAAGGAUUAGUGCAAGCUGGUGUUUUCAUUAUCCUCCUUUUGCAGAUGUGGAACUGAGGCUAUGGGAUUUGCCUAAGGUCCUGCGAUUUAUGAUCUGAACCUGAGCAGCCUGGCUCCAAGGUCAUGUCAAGACUCAGAAUUGCUUCUCUUGGCUCAGAGCCACACGGCUCACCUAGUGGGAAAGAGGUUCAUGCAGCACACACUGCUUAAGCACGUACUGCCUGCCACCAGUGCCAGGACCACAAAGAUGACAGCUCUCCGGGCAGGCAGGAAAGACUCUCACUUCACAGAUGAAGCGGCGAAGGGCUCAGCAUGCCUUGGGGAGAUGCUGUAGCUGGCAUGGCUUGUCAGGCUCAAAGCCAGCUGACUCAUCUGGUUCCUGACUCAGCCCAGUUACCGUGAUGGGCCUGCUCUGUGGAUCUCCAACUCUGUGGUGAUGCUGGGCCCCCCAAAAUGGGAAGAGGGGGAACUGAAAACGGGAAAACAUUCUGGAAUUCUAUUCCAGGAGUCAGAAAGUUACCAGGCACUUCCGUGGCAGAACCCCAGGUGGUGGUGGGGCGGGUCUCUGCCUUCCUGCUUGUCCUGUGCCUCUUAUGGUUCUGUUCCGAACCGACGCUAUGCCUUCUGUGGAGGUUGAGCUCAGUGAGGACCAUCUGAACCACAAGGAACAUCUUCAGAAGGGUCCGGUCGUGGACAACCAGCCACCUCCAGGUUCUCCCUGUGUCUGUAGCAGACUGAUGGUGCUCCCCUGGACAAGGAGCACUGCUUUUCUAGACCUCAGUUUUCUCAUCUGUAAGAUGGAAAUGACUCUGGUUCCCUUACAAGCUUGCGAAAAGAUGAUAACGCCAGACAAUAACGACUUUGGAAGAGGAAGGGUUAAUAAAGAUUGUGGUUUUCAUUAUUUUUUUUUAGUAUUAAACACAUUGUGCAUGCUUUAAAUAUUUUUAAAUUUUUAAGUAUGUAUUUAUUAUUAUUGUAUAUGUGUGCUGGGGUGGGGCAUGCCAUAGUCAGUAUGUAGGGGUGGCGCACGCCUUUAAUCCCAGCACUCGGGAGGCAGAGCCAGGCGGAUCUCUGUGAGUUCGA